Molecule: long non-coding RNA, 4947 nt
Filed under: Anas zonorhyncha (Eastern spot-billed duck)
Lineage: Eukaryota; Metazoa; Chordata; Aves; Anseriformes; Anatidae
Description: lncRNA (ENSAZOG00000002945.1)
Source: RNAcentral
GUAAAAUCCCUCGUCUCUCACGCUCAUACAGCAUUUUUAUGGCAUGGAACUGCCAGCAUGUCUCAGUGUUUCUUCCAUGACUGUUUGCUGGUUCAGUUUCAGCCUGGUGUUGUUCAUUUUUCAGACUCUCAGCCUGGCGCUUGACCUCACACUGUGGUGACAGGUCCAAAGUACCAGUCUCCACACUCGAUGCAAAUGCAGUGGUGGAAGACAUCAAGCUGAUGAGAGCUGGAAGGGCUAUGGUAAGGGGAAGACUUGUUUACCAGAGGCUGGAUUACUCAGGCUCUAACAUGAAUGUCAUAAAGAUGCCACCCAUCUGAAAUGUCCUGUCCAGUAUGAAAUAUAUGUUCACUUUGAUGCUUAGACCUUCAAACACAAUCCCACAAUGAUCUAUCCUGCCAUGUAAGCUUUAAGGCUGAACUUCAAUUUGUUUUCCACAGAAAAAUGAAAACAUGAUAUUGUCCUGACAGAACUUCCUGAAGUACAUGCAACCAUCCUUGUGCCUGAAUACCUGACCAUUUACAGGAAGUGUUGAUUGGUUUGAGGUAGUGACAAGGAUUUAAUAGAAAUUUUACUUCAGAGGCUUCUAGAGCCAGGAUCUACUGAAAUGGAAGGACCAUCUGUGAGGUUACUGAAAAUGAUCCAGAAAAAAGUACUGGAAGGUGAGAGAAGAUAUUUUUUCAUAACAUGUAAAUGUGUAUUUGCAUUUAAAAGCAAUAAGACCCUCCUGUUCCUGUGUUUCCCAAGUUUACAACCUUUACCAUUCCUCUAAUAGAGUUUGUGGGUUUUUUUGUUGUUUUUUUUUUGUUUGUUUGUUUGUUUGUUUGUUUUGUUGUUGCUGUUGUUGUUUUGUUUGGUUUGGUUUGUGUUUUUUUUUAAUUUUAUUUAAUUUUGUUUUGUUUUGUUUUUCUUUCUUCCUCUGACAGUAACAGGGAAAAGUAUGUUUAGUUUCCCUUCACAUCAAGCUGGUGAACUUACGUUUCAAGAAAGAACUUAGAUGUAUUGAAAUCAUCUUUUUUGCUGCAAUUAACCAACUGGCAGAAGGACUAUAGAUAUAUCACAGGCACAUACAGAGAAUUUCUGAACAUCCUGAAAGAAUAGCAUGUAGUUUUCCUUGUCCAACAAAGGCACAAUGGACCUGAUUUAUCUUUUAGAACUAUCUAAGGAAAUACACUGAAUCUGGGUUUAUUUAUACUGAGAUUACUUCCUAGUGGUAAAAUACAUUAAUGUGCCCUUAAAUUGAUGGUUAAUUGACCUUAAAAUGAUGGAUAAAAUGGCUUUAGUGACUUAUGUGAAUAAAGAGAAUCCAGUAUAUUUUGGCAACUUCUUAUUCCAGAAACAUUUUAUUUUAUUUUACUUUAUAUGAACAGUUUAAUUUGCAUGCUGAACACCAAGAAUUUUCUCACAUAUUAAUAAAGGGAUGAAAACCAAGUGAAAUUACAGGCACAGAUCUAGACAUCUGUCCUGCAGAAGCAGAACAUGUUGCUUGCAUGCAGUUUAGCAAAUCAUACUUAUCUUCUAUAAACUAAGCCUCAUGCCUAAGUGUCUGUGACCUCAGUGAUUUCGUUCUCCUUAUAAAGCCAUUAACACUUCAAAUGAUUCAUAAUUUGCUAAAUCUGAAUACAGAAAUGUUAGAAAUAAUUCAACUUAUUUUUAUUUUAUUUUGUUUUAUUGAAAUAAAAAAUGCCAGUGCUCAAGUCCAAUACCUACAUUAAGCAAAUCCUAGGUGAAAGAUUUUAAUAAAACCCUGUUUUAACAUUCCCAGGGAUAAUUUCUUCUUUCCUUGAAAGUAAUUAAAAAAAAAAAAAACAAAAAAAAAACAAAAAAACAAACAAAAAAAACAACGGUUGUUUUCAGAUAGAAAUUCAUGAGCAUUCUGGCAUUUUUAAUGUUUUUAAACUUUUUUCAACCUGUGCAAAUUCUCAUGAAAUAGAAAAACAUUUCUUAUUCAUCUGAAUUAUAGAGUAUUCAUAGGAUAAUUCCAUUCAGAAAAUGAUGGAAAACACAGCAAGCGACCUCAGAGAAUCACUCAGCAUACUGAAUUUCCUCUUGAUAUAGCAGAGAGCAAUUAGAUUUUUAGAAGAAAGAAAAUAUCUAUUACCUGUUCGUACUGUUAAUGGUCACAUCCACAAUCCAAUACAUUUAAACAGUUCCAAGUGAUUUAAUAAUUGCCAUUCUCUUACAAAAAUAGCAAUUUUCUCAUACCCUUACAAUAUGGAAGUAGUUUUCUAGUGUGAAUGUCUGCAUCUGCAAUUAUUCAUAUUCAGUGACUUGAAUUUUUAUAAAAGGUUUUUCUGGCAAAUCAGUUUAACUCAGUUUGUAAUCCUACUUUGUAAUUUAAAAAAUUGAAUGAAUGUUUCUAGAAGCCUUCUUCAGACUCCAUUUAUAGCAUGGGAACCAUAAGGGGACUGAUUUCCCAUCCCACUGAAUAUAGUAGUAGAUUUUUACUUGGAUUAAACUCUUCGUGAAAAUAGUUCUUGUAUGGAAUAGCCUUCAGAAAGGAGCGAGUGCCACAAAGCCCUGGAACAACAUAUUACAAGCACAACAGUGUUUCCAAACUACCACUUCUCUGUGCUUUCUUCUUCUUUAUAGUUGACCACAGCUAGGACAAUACCAAGUAACUUAGCUCCACUAAAGCCAAUUUUGUAUUUUAUUUCCAUAUUUUAAGAAAAAGACACUGUGUUAUCCUGUUUGUAGCUCAAAUACAGACAUAGAACCAAAUCUUUAAUUGCAUACACAGUUAUUGCAUUGCUCAUAAAACAUUUUUUUACAGAAAUCUUUAUUCAUGUGGAUUUUAGUACAGCCACAUAAUACAGUUCACUUAAAGAAAGAAAGCAAAAGUACAUUUUUUUUUAUAUCUGUGUGAGUGUCAGAAAAUCAGCUUUCUUAAUGAUGAUGAAAGAAAUAUAUGAUAUAUACCCUAUUCACUUCAAUUUGUUCACUAUUCAAAUAAUUCUUUUCUUGUCCUAUUUUUGUCCUGGUUAACUCAUUUUAAAAUUCAAUAGUCUCAUUUUGUCUAAAAAUCACACUCAUCUUUCUCUCAGUUUUGACUUCCCAAUCCCACAUUUUACUUGUGAACUAUGGAUACUAUUAUGUGUUCAGUGUUGCAACUUCUGUACCAAUAAAAAUCUGGAUCAGAAACAGCUUCUGAUCUCUCUCCCAAGGACAGUAAUGCUUGAUUAAAUUCUCUAUAUGCCUUGCUGAAAUGUCACUUGGGAUAUGAUUGCCCAGUGUUCUCUGCCCAAGUGCAUUGCAAGACCACCAUUUGGCUCAGUAAAAUUCCUGCAUGGGAGGAGGCUCUUAGUUUGCCUACACAGCAGUAUUUAUGUCUGUUUAAGGGCAAAAUCAUUCUGUUAGAUUAGUGCAGUGAUCUAGACAGAUGGACAGAGCCAGUGGUACCAAGGCAGUCUCCAUCUCAGUGCAGUCCCUAAGGCCCUCAAUAGCUGAGCAAGGUCAAAACAGCAAACUGAAACUGUGUCAGGAUCAGGUUUAAAGCUAUCCCUGAGGCACAUACUUCAUCCAUCUCUCCCAUCCACAGAAAAAGUGGGUGAAACUCGUAUAAGAGGUUCCUGAGGGAUGCUUGGGAAAAAGGGAGCACAUGUAAGAAAAGAGCUUUUGUUUUUGUGUUUCUGAAGGUUGAAGUAUUUCUGUAUUUCCUAUGUUAUAAAAGAAGAUAAAAAAUGCUUAGUGUAACAUUAAAGUUAAUCAUAUUUUUCCUUUUGAUUCUAUUGAGCUUUGCAAUAUUUCUGUAAUACCCUAAGUAGCACAGUAUGGAAUGUUUGAUUAUAUUUUAAGAUCACAGUGUUUACUGUAUUUUUUACAAACACUCAGCUGUUGCAUUCAUAUUUUUAUGUCUAUAUCUCGUACCACACUAGUUAUCUCAUAACACAUGUAGUAAUUUGGAACAGUUCUUGGUCCUGUGCUAUUUAAGAUAAAGAAAAAAGAGAGAAGAAACAACAAAAUUGUGGCAAGUAAGGAGAACAUGUCACUGUUGCAGAGUGACCUGGAUCAUUUGCAUGGGCAUAAGCAACAAUAUGUAUUCCAGUAUGUGCAAAUGCAUCUCUUAGGGAAAUGUUUUUGUCUUAUCUCCUGGCUGUAUGACCACCAUCAUCUUUAAAUGAUGAAACAUUAGAACUAAAGUUAGACUAUAAUUAACAUUCACAUUUGAUCAGAAAUGAAUGGCAGAAAAACAAGUUAAAUUUUUUUUAAUAAUCUUGAGUAUCCACGGAAAACAGAAAUCUGGUAAAGAACUGCUCAGUCAAGUUGUUAAAAUACCUGAAAAAGUAAGAGAAAAGAUUUUAGAUGUUUUUAUGCAUCUUUACUAGCAAGAGUACUUAGCUUACCAAUGGCUGUGAUGUAGUAUUGUUCUAAUAGUUUGCAAGUAGAUCAUUUUACAAAAAAUUAGGUACUAUUUCAGACACAAAUUAAGAGAAGUCCUGCAGCCUCCAUUUAAAAAAAAACAAAAACAAAAACAUUUGAUUCUCUUACAGCAUGAAUUUUACAGUCUAAAUCUUAAAUCUUCUCAUUGUAAUCAACAUCAACAUGAAGUGCUCCAUACACUCUGUUAGGCACAAGAAGAGGAAACAUGGCUUGCCAAAGCUUGCACUAAAAUGUUUCUUUCAAAGGGAAGCUUUUAUAAACUUCCAUUCAAAACAAGCAAGCAACUAAAAAACAAAUAAACAACAAACACUAAAAUUCUCAACUGGUAUAAAUUGGCCUGUUGACUUUAUUGGAGCUCUACCAAAUUAUAUGUACUGAUGAUUUGGCUUGUGAAUCUUAAACUGUGGGAUAAAACAGGAACUCUCAAAAGGUAGAGGUAAACAAAAUAAUUUUUAGACAGUAAUUAGUCUUCUAAACUUCAAGAACCUUAAUGAGCUGCAAGCAACUGAGCUUCCUUUAUUUCAAUGCACUGCUCCUCAUGUUUCAUGCUACUUUAUUAGAUUAGCU